Molecule: ribosomal RNA, 406 nt
Filed under: uncultured bacterium
Lineage: Bacteria
Description: partial 16S ribosomal RNA
Rfam family: Bacterial small subunit ribosomal RNA
Source: RNAcentral
AUUGAACGCUGGCGGCAGGCCUAACACAUGCAAGUCGAACGAGUGGCGGACGGGUGAGUAAUGUCUGGGAAACUGCCCGAUGGAGGGGGAUAACUACUGGAAACGGUAGCUAAUACCGCAUACCAUCGGAUGUGCCCAGAUGGGAUUAGCUGGUAGGUGGGGUAACGGCUCACCUAGGCGACGAUCCCUAGCUGGGCUGAGAGGAUGACCAGCCACCCUGAAACUGAGCCACGGUCCAGACUCCUACGGGAGGCAGCAGUGGGGAAAAUUGAAAAGUGGGCGCAAGCCUGAUGCAGCCAUGCCGCGUGUAUGAAGAAGGCCUUCGGGUUGUAAAGUACGUUCAGCGAGGAGGCGUUACUCGCAGAAGAAGAACCGGCUAACUCCGUGCGAGCAGCCGCGGUAAUUC